UAAGCGGAGGAAAAGAAACUAACAAGGAUUCCCUUAGUAACUGCGAGUGAAGCGGGAAAAGCUCAAAUUUAAAAUCUGGCGGUCUCUGGCCGUCCGAGUUGUAAUCUAGAGAAGUGCUUUCCGCGUUGGACCGUGUACAAGUCUCUUGGAAUAGAGCAUCAUAGAGGGUGAGAAUCCCGUCUCUGACACGGACUACCAGUGCUUUUGCGAUGCGCUCUCAAAGAGUCGAGUUGUUUGGGAAUGCAGCUCAAAAUGGGUGGUAAAUUCCAUCUAAAGCUAAAUAUUGGCGAGAGACCGAUAGCGAACAAGUACCGUGAGGGAAAGAUGAAAAGAACUUUGGAAAGAGAGUUAAACAGUACGUGAAAUUGUUGAAAGGGAAACGCUUGAAGUCAGUCGCGUCGUCCAGGGAUCAACCUUGCGUUUAUUCGUUGGGUGCACUUCCUGUUUGACGGGUCAGCAUCAAUUCUGACCAUCGGACAAGGGUCGGAGGAAUGUGGCAUCCUCGGAUGUGUUAUAGCCUCUGGUCGCAUGCGAUGGUUGGGAUUGAGGAACUCAGCACGCCGAAAGGCCGGGUCUGUUGACCACGUUCGUGCUUAGGAUGCUGGCAUAAUGGCUUUA
This 618-nucleotide ribosomal RNA is filed under the name Gliophorus aff. laetus SAC-CR-7 (CFMR CR-348). RNAcentral describes it as "eukaryotic LSU rRNA". It matches the Rfam family "Eukaryotic large subunit ribosomal RNA", at positions 47 to 642 of the family's 3401-position model. The record is from RNAcentral. Lineage: Eukaryota; Fungi; Basidiomycota; Agaricomycetes; Agaricales; Hygrophoraceae. RNAcentral also lists the same sequence under 1 other name.